Molecule: ribosomal RNA, 366 nt
Filed under: Triticum aestivum (bread wheat)
Lineage: Eukaryota; Viridiplantae; Streptophyta; Magnoliopsida; Poales; Poaceae
Description: partial small subunit ribosomal RNA
Source: RNAcentral
AUGCCGGCCGACGAAUUCCUCCAGCGCAUGCACACGGGAAAGAGAUCGCUUGGAGUAGAACUACCCUCGUACAAGAAUAGGCAGGAAAGGGGACGGUCACAUGAAGUUGUUGCCAUGUUGAACUGCCAGUUCACUCAGUCGCAGAUGAUGGCGAGGCGACAAGACGUACAGUGUGCCCAGCUCAUCCCAUGGUCGAUUGCGCUGGGGCGCUCAUGGUGGCGCUGGAAGGAUUCUCCUAGCCAAAUUUUAGCACAGAGGCGCCUUCCAGAGCACGUUGCCGCUAAUAGUGAUGUCCGGCGGCGCGAGGACAUGGUGAGGCUUCAACGAAUCAUCCAAGGCUUUGAAGGAUUAAAUCUGAGAACAUAA